RNAcentral lists this long non-coding RNA (314 nucleotides) under Equus caballus (horse). Its description in RNAcentral is "lncRNA (ENSECAG00000057930.1)". Lineage: Eukaryota; Metazoa; Chordata; Mammalia; Perissodactyla; Equidae. The record is from RNAcentral.
CGUAUUUUCUCCCUACCUGAGCCCUCUAGAAUUCAGAAACUCUCAACUGGACUCCCUUGGCCUAAGGCAUUGCCCUUGGUCUCACUGACCGCAGUACCCUCUUUGGAAAACAUAAACUCACUCCACAUGAGACAGUCACCAGCAGAUCAAUGUCUACUGAUUAAAGAAGCUUUCCUGGAUUCCAAUAUAAAGCAUCAUGUUGGUCACAGUCUAGAGCCUGGUGACUGGAUAUUCUGGGAGCAUCAUCAGAGAAAGACAAUGGAGAGGGCCUUAUCAAGUGCUCCUAACCACUGACACUGCUGCAGAACUAAAAG